UGGGGAAUUUUGGACAAUGGGCGCAAGCCUGAUCCAGCAAUGCCGCGUGAGUGAAGAAGGCCUUCGGGUUGUAAAGCUCUUUUAGUUGAAAGAAAAAAUCGUGACUAAUAAUCACGAUUCAUGACGGUAUCAACAGAAAAAGCACCGGCUAACUACGUGCCAGCAGCCGCGGUAAUACGUAGGGUGCAAGCGUUAAUCGGAAUUACUGGGCGUAAAGGGUGCGUAGGCGGUUUUGUAAGUCAGAUGUGAAAUCCCCGGGCUUAACCUGGGAAUUGCGUUUGAAACUGCAAGACUAGAGUGCGGCAGAGGGAGGUGGAAUUCCAUGUGUAGCAGUGAAAUGCGUAGAGAUAUGGAAGAACAUCGAUGGCGAAGGCAACCGUCCUGGGCUAGCACUGACGCUCA
Molecule: ribosomal RNA, 402 nt
Filed under: uncultured bacterium
Lineage: Bacteria
Description: bacterial SSU rRNA
Rfam family: Bacterial small subunit ribosomal RNA
Source: RNAcentral